This 1268-nucleotide long non-coding RNA is filed under the name Equus caballus (horse). Its description in RNAcentral is "lncRNA (ENSECAG00000042103.2)". Lineage: Eukaryota; Metazoa; Chordata; Mammalia; Perissodactyla; Equidae. The record is from RNAcentral.
AGCUCAGGGCUAAUCUUCCUCACGGAAAAAAAAAAAAGUCCAAGAUUAAAAAUGAAUAGUUUUCACAGUGGAAGGGCCUAGCCAGCCAGAUGAAUAAAGAUUGACACCAAUGUAUGUGAUAAUGAAUGUUCAGAGCACCAAAGAUAAACCGAAGUAUAUAAAGGGUUCAGAGAGAAACAAACCAACUAAAAAUCAACAAAUAAUAAAAAUAGCAUCAUCGAAAAGGAUAAGGGGUAAAAAUGCCAUUGAGCAUCUUGAUAGUAAUGCUAGAAGUCAGAAGCAAUGUGAACAAGGUCUUCAAAAUUGUGAAAGAAAAUUAUUUUUAGCUAGAAUUCUAUCUUGAGUCAAAUUCUAAAUCUAAAAUGAGGGUAGAAUAAAGCCAUAUUCAGAUAUGCAGCAUUUUAAUAAAUUGAUCUUCCAUCCAUUUAUACUGGAAAGCCACUGGGAAAUGUUACAUACCAAAUGUGCUGUAAAUAAGAAAAAAAAAGGACAUAAAUAUCAUGAAACAAUGGAAAUUUGUGAGAGCCAGGAAAUAUUUAAAGAAGGGGCUUUAGAGAAUUCCAUGGAUUAAGGGGUGUGCCAAGAUGCUUGAUGUACAGAAGACAGAGUGGGCAAACAUUCCAAACUCAGAAGGACAGAGGGUUCCACAGCGGAUGCAGAGGCAACAGAGGUAGGGAGAGGGCCAAUGGCUGAUGAUGAUGCGAUGUGCUCAACCCAUGCUGAAGUUUCAGAGCUGCGUGGCUUACAACAGAAGAAAAUCAGAAGUCUUUGCAACGGAGGCUGAUGCAUUUUUAGAAGCCAGAAGAGAGAAGACUUACUAGAUGGUUUUCAUUUUUGAUCAUUGAUCCUGACAUAAUAGAAUGUGACCUACGUAGAGAAGACAAAAGGCAGAAAUACAACACAACCAAAGAAUACACGCUGGAAAAGGAAUCACUGAAGAAAAACGGAUAGGAAGCAUAUCUCAUGUUUUUGUGUGUGCAGGCAUACCUCGGAGAUGUUGUGGGUUUGGUACCUGACUGCUGUAAUAAAGCUAAUAUCACAAUAAACCAAGUCACAUCAAUUUUUUGGUUUCUCAGUACAUAUAAAAGUUAUGUUUACACUAUACUAUAAAGUGUGCAAUAGCAUUAUGUCUAAAAACACAAUGUACAUGCCUUAAUUAAAAAAUCCUUAAUUGCUAAAAAAUAUUAACCAUCAUCUGAGCCUUCAGCAAGUCAUAAUCUUUUUGCUUUUGGAGGCUCUUGUGAAAAUGCGCUAUCUGCAAAGCAUAA